GAAUGAGGCUUGCAGCUAAGAAACCUGCUAAGUUUCAACACCCUAGUUGGAUUCUAGGGCUCGUUCG
RNAcentral lists this transfer RNA (67 nucleotides) under Histrio histrio (sargassumfish). RNAcentral describes it as "tRNA-Ser". Lineage: Eukaryota; Metazoa; Chordata; Actinopteri; Lophiiformes; Antennariidae. The record is from RNAcentral.